This 253-nucleotide ribosomal RNA is filed under the name uncultured bacterium. Its description in RNAcentral is "partial 16S ribosomal RNA". It matches the Rfam family "Bacterial small subunit ribosomal RNA", at positions 524 to 776 of the family's 1533-position model. The record is from RNAcentral.
UACGGAGGGUGCAAGCGUUCUCCGGAAUCACUGGGCUUAAAGGGUGCGUAGGCGGCUGUAUAAGUCAGAGGUGAAAGCCCGGAGCUUAACUUCGGAACUGCCUUUGAUACUGUAUAGCUUGAAAUAGGUUGAGGUCAGCGGAAUGUGGCAUGUAGCGGUGAAAUGCAUAGAUAUGCCAUAGAACACCAAUUGCGAAGGCAGCUGGCUGGACCUUAUUUGACGCUGAGGCACGAAAGCGUGGGGAGCGAAUAGG